CUCUCUCCCUCUUUUUCUCUCUCUCUAUACAAAGAAAUGGAACCUAACGAUACCCAACACCACCAUCACCCCCACCAUCACCUCAGCUCCUCCUCUUACUUCACCACCUCCACCACUCCAGCUCCGGCCACCACAACUCCUUCUCCGACCAAUGGCCUUCUCCCGCCGCCACCUCAUGAUACUGGCGGUGGUGGAGGGACUCAUAUGGUGUAUCCACACUCAGUGGGGCCAUCAACGGCGGCAGUGAGUAGUGCGCCGGUGGAGUCUCCUAGAAGGAAGCGUGGGCGGCCUAGAAAGUAUGGCACGCCGGAGCAAGCAUUAGCGGCGAAGAAAACGGC
This 338-nucleotide long non-coding RNA is filed under the name Ricinus communis (castor bean). RNAcentral's name for it is "long non-coding RNA (RCOM_LNC001454)". The record is from RNAcentral. Lineage: Eukaryota; Viridiplantae; Streptophyta; Magnoliopsida; Malpighiales; Euphorbiaceae.